AGGUAAAAAGGAGGUGUGACAGAUGGUUGCGGUUUCAUAUCAUCCGUUAUAUAUUUAUUGUUUAAGCUUUUAAUAUUGCUGAUGUGGUCCCAUUUUGUUUUUUUUAUUAUUGUUUCAUGUGAUUUUAUCUGAAGGAUGGUGGAUAAAGUGAACUUAUAUUUUAAUUAUGGGGUGAGUGGGUAUUGGAACCUACACUAUCUUAUACUAAGAAAGACGUGAACCUGUUGAAUGGUUAUGAAGUAGACCACCUCUCUUAUAUUGAUUUGUGUAAAGAAUACAGUGAAGUAAUAGAAUUUGUUGAGGUACAACAGUUACUAUUUAUUGACACAUCUGGGAAAUAUUUUUGUUGGAUGAGGAUGAAGGGAUUAGGAAGCUUCAAGCCUUAAUUAAUAAUAGUUUCACUGAUGUACAUUUAUUUGGUGUUGACCUUCUAGAUGAUGCUCUAAAUAUUCAUGUAUUUACUCAGCAAACUGAUACAAAUAGUGUACUUGUUGUAGUAGCUACUGACUGUAAUAGUAGUGGAGAUGAUACAGAUAUUGAAAGUGUUGAUAAUGAUUAUGAUAGUGAUGCCCUAGGUUUAUUUAGGAGGCAGGAGAAGUUUGAGGUAACUGACCAACUUGAUAGGUAUAAAAUAUUGGAAAAAGGUAUGACAUUCAAAGAUCUUGUUGAAGCUAAGGAGGUUAUUGGUUUUUAUGUGGUUUCUAAUAAGAUGGGCCUUCAGGUAGAUAAGAGUGAUAGGAGAAGACUUAGAUACAAGUGUCAGACUGGGUGUCCCUUUAAAUGUCUUAUUUCUAAGUAUGACAGAGAUCAAUGGGUAAAGAUAAAAACUUGGAGGCAUGAAUAUAAUUGUGAAGUUCUUGAGAACAGAAGAGCUAUUCCUGCUACUUUAAAACAUUAUUUUAAUAGAAAGAUUCAAAAUAAUCCUAAGUUUAAAGUUAAAGAGAUGAAGGUUGAUUUAAAGGAUAGAUUUAGUUUGAAUGUGAAUGAUUCAAAGUUAAAAAGGGCGAAGAGAAUGAUUUUAGAGAAAUUGAAGGGUAGUUACUUAGAUGAGUACAACAAGUUGGAGGCAUAUGCUCAAAAGUUGAGAGAACCAACCCUGGUGCUGAUGUGGUGAUACAGAUAUCCAAGGAUGCAAUGGAGGAAGGUAAGAAAAGAUUUUGGAGGAUGUAUAUCUGCUUCCAGUCCCUCAAGAGUGGAUUCAAAGCAGGUUUCAGACCUUUUAUAGGUCUAGAUUGAUCAUUUUUAAAAGGCAAAUACCAAGGGAUAUUGUUAAUUGCUAUUGCUCAAGAUUCUAGCUAGUAUAUGUAUCCACUAGCUCUGGUUGUGGUGGAUAAGGAAACAAAAAUAACAUAGCAGUCGUUCAUGGAGAACUUGAAGGCUUCUUUGAACUUUAAAGAUGGUGAAGGGUAUACAUUCAUGUCAGAUAUACAGAAGGGUCUAUUAGAGCUAUAAGGAAUGAAUGUCCAUAAUCAUAUCACAGAUAUUGUGCAAGGCAUAUUGAAAUAAACUGGAGUAAGGAUUGGAAGACUGAUGAGAUGAAAAAAUUAAUAUGGUGGUGUUCUUGGAGCACAUAUGAGGAAGAAUUUAAUGAUAUGUUGAAACAGUUAGGUGAAGUAUUUGAGGAUGCUGUCAGAGACUUGAUGAAAUAUCCUCCAGUAAACUGGUGUAGAGCUUACUAUAAUACCCAAUAUAAGAACCCAAUGGUGGACAAUAACUUUAUAGAGUUUUUCAACUCUUGGAUUCUUGAAGCUAGACAUAAGCCAAUUGUGAAAAUGCUUGAGGAUAUAAGAGUAAAGUGGUUGAUAAUUGAAGGUGAUGAAUCACCUAAAGGAUAGAGCAGAUGAAGUUAGCAGUUGGAGAGAUGAAUAUAACCCAUAUGCAAUGGAGUUGUACAAUGAUUACAGAGAGAUGGCUUCAAAGUGCAAGGAAAAUUUCAAUGGAGAUAGGGGUUUUGAAAUAAGUGAAGGUGAAGACAGGCACAUGGUGAUUCUGGAGCAACAAAGGUGCACAUGCAGACUGUGGAACUUGUUUGGAAUCCCUAGUGCUUAUGCUAUCAAGGCAUUCAAUUAUAAGAAACUCGACCCAACCUAGUGGCAUUCCAAACAAGCUAGGCAGUUGGUGUAUCAGCACAAACUGCAACCUGUUAGUGGUAAAAUAUUCUGUAAAGUUUAGCCAAACCAGGCCAUGGAAUCACCAUCAUUAACAAAGAUGGUUGGUAGACCUAAAGUGAAAAGGUCAAGAGAGAAGAAUGAAGCUAGAAAAAGGCAAGGAGAAUUGUCAACUUCUAGGAACGGUCUUCAAAAGACUUGUGGUUUUGUAGCAAGUCAAACCAUAAUAAAAGAAGAUGUCUAUUAGCCAAUAAGGUAUACUUACAAUAUGCUUUUUAUACUUACAAUCUGUUUUUUAUACUUACAAUAUACUUUUUAUACUUACAAUCCAAGAAUGUGUAAGACCAUACUGAGACAACUCAAGACUAAGAAUUAGAAUUUUUCAUGGUCCCUAAUCCUGGUUUUAAAGUAUAAGACCAACAAAUGCAAAGUCAGGCUAGCCAACCAAGUCAGCUGUCCAGUCAACACUCUAGUUAGUACACUUAAAUGCCAAGUCAGCAAUACAGUCAAUACACUCAGAUGCCAAGUCAGCAAUACAAUUAGUACACC
This is a long non-coding RNA of Nicotiana tabacum (common tobacco), 2657 nucleotides long. RefSeq lists it as uncharacterized. NCBI's taxonomy places the organism in Eukaryota, Viridiplantae, Streptophyta, Magnoliopsida, Solanales, Solanaceae. The record is from RefSeq and is a predicted model, not a curated record.